GACGAACGCUGGCGGCGUGCCUAAUACAUGCAAGUAGAACGCUGAAGGAGGAGCUUGCUUCUCUGGAUGAGUUGCGAACGGGUGAGUAACGCGUAGGUAACCUGCCUGGUAGCGGGGGAUAACUAUUGGAAACGAUAGCUAAUACCGCAUAAGAGUAGAUGUUGCAUGACAUUUGCUUAAAAGGUGCAAUUGCAUCACUACCAGAUGGACCUGCGUUGUAUUAGCUAGUUGGUGGGGUAACGGCUCACCAAGGCGACGAUACAUAGCCGACCUGAGAGGGGGAUCGGCCACCCUGGGACUGGGACACGGCCCAGACUCCUACGGGAGGCAGCAGUAGGGGAUCUUCGGCAAUGGACGGAAGUCUGACCGAGCAACGCCGCGUGAGUGAAGAAGGUUUUCGGAUCGUAAAGCUCUGUUGUAAGAGAAGAACGAGUGUGAGAGUGGAAAGUUCACACUGUGACGGUAUCUUACCAGAAAGGGACGGCUAACUACGUG
Molecule: ribosomal RNA, 495 nt
Filed under: uncultured bacterium
Lineage: Bacteria
Description: partial 16S ribosomal RNA
Rfam family: Bacterial small subunit ribosomal RNA
Source: RNAcentral